Molecule: ribosomal RNA, 1154 nt
Filed under: Salmonella enterica
Lineage: Bacteria; Pseudomonadati; Pseudomonadota; Gammaproteobacteria; Enterobacterales; Enterobacteriaceae
Description: bacterial LSU rRNA
Rfam family: Bacterial large subunit ribosomal RNA
Source: RNAcentral
GGGUUGUGAGGUUAAGCGACUAAGCGUACACGGUGGAUGCCCUGGCAGUCAGAGGCGAUGAAGGACGUGCUAAUCUGCGAUAAGCGCCGGUAAGGUGAUAUGAACCGUUAUAACCGGCGAUUUCCGAAUGGGGAAACCCAGUGUGACUCGUCACACUAUCAUUAACUGAAUCCAUAGGUUAAUGAGGCGAACCGGGGGAACUGAAACAUCUAAGUACCCCGAGGAAAAGAAAUCAACCGAGAUUCCCCCAGUAGCGGCGAGCGAACGGGGAGGAGCCCAGAGCCUGAAUCAGCAUGUGUGUUAGUGGAAGCGUCUGGAAAGGCGCGCGAUACAGGGUGACAGCCCCGUACACAAAAGCGCAUGUGCUGUGAGCUCGAUGAGUAGGGCGGGACACGUGAUAUCCUGUCUGAAUAUGGGGGGACCAUCCUCCAAGGCUAAAUACUCCUGACUGACCGAUAGUGAACCAGUACCGUGAGGGAAAGGCGAAAAGAACCCCGGCGAGGGGAGUGAAAAAGAACCUGAAACCGUGUACGUACAAGCAGUGGGAGCACCCUUUGGGGUGUGACUGCGUACCUUUUGUAUAAUGGGUCAGCGACUUAUAUUCUGUAGCAAGGUUAACCGAAUAGGGGAGCCGGAGGGAAACCGAGUCUUAAUUGGGCGUUAAGUUGCAGGGUAUAGACCCGAAACCCGGUGAUCUAGCCAUGGGCAGGUUGAAGGUUGGGUAACACUAACUGGAGGACCGAACCGACUAAUGUUGAAAAAUUAGCGGAUGACCUGUGGCUGGGGGUGAAAGGCCAAUCAAACCGGGAGAUAGCUGGUUCUCCCCGAAAGCUAUUUAGGUAGCGCCUCGUGAAUUCAUCUCCGGGGGUAGAGCACUGUUUCGGCUAGGGGGCCAUCCCGGCUUACCAACCCGAUGCAAACUGCGAAUACCGGAGAAUGUUAUCACGGGAGACACACGGCGGGUGCUAACGUCCGUCGUGAAGAGGGAAACAACCCAGACCGCCAGCUAAGGUCCCAAAGUCAUAGUUAAGUGGGAAACGAUGUGGGAAGGCCCAGACAGCCAGGAUGUUGGCUUAGAAGCAGCCAUCAUUUAAAGAAAGCGUAAUAGCUCACUGGUCGAGUCGGCCUGCGCGGAAGAUGUAACGGGGCUAAAC